CGGGUGAGUAAUGCGUGACCAACCUGCCCCAUGCUCCAGAAUAGCUCUUGGAAACGGGUGGUAAUGCUGGAUGCUCCAACUUGACGCAUGUCUUGUUGGGAAAGUGUUUAGUGGCAUGGGAUGGGGUCGCGUCCUAUCAGCUUGUAGGCGGGGUAAUGGCCCACCUAGGCUUCGACGGGUAGCCGGCCUGAGAGGGCGGACGGCCACAUUGGGACUGAGAUACGGCCCAGACUCCUACGGGAGGCAGCAGAA
Molecule: ribosomal RNA, 252 nt
Filed under: uncultured Gardnerella sp.
Lineage: Bacteria; Bacillati; Actinomycetota; Actinomycetes; Bifidobacteriales; Bifidobacteriaceae
Description: partial 16S ribosomal RNA
Rfam family: Bacterial small subunit ribosomal RNA
Source: RNAcentral